RNAcentral lists this ribosomal RNA (460 nucleotides) under uncultured bacterium. RNAcentral's name for it is "partial 16S ribosomal RNA". It matches the Rfam family "Bacterial small subunit ribosomal RNA", at positions 338 to 795 of the family's 1533-position model. The record is from RNAcentral.
CCUACGGGUGGCAGCAGUGAGGAAUAUUGGUCAAUGGACGAGAGUCUGACCCAGCCAAGUAGCGUGAAGGAUGACUGCCCUCUGGGUUGUAAACUUCUUUUAUAAAGGAAUAAAACGAGGCACGUGUGCCUUUUUGCAUGUACUUUAUGAAUAAGGAUCGGCUAACUCCGUGCCAGCAGCCGCGGUACUACGGAGGAUACGAGCGUUAUCCGGAUUGAUUGGGUUUAAAGGGAGCGUAGGUGGGUUGUUAAGUCAGUUGUGAAAGUUUGCGGCUCAACCGUAGAAGUGAAAUGGAUACUGGCAGUCUUGAGUACAGAAGAGGUAGGCGGAAUUCGUGGUGUAGCGGUGAAAUGCGUAGAUAUCACGAAGAACCCCGAUGGCGAAGGCAGCUUACUAAUCUGUGACUGACGUUGAGGCUCGAAAGUGUGGGUAUCAAACAGGAUUAGAUACCCCAGUAGUC